GAACGGAGAGAUUCAUCGUCAUUCCGCGGCGCGUCGUGCGUCGUUUCGAUACUGUCCCUCUCGGGGGGCGGUACGCGCGACGUCGACGGCGUCCGUGGACGGCGUGCACUUCUCUCUUAGUAAGACAUCGCGACCCGUUCGAUGUACGUCUACGCCCCGUGCGGGAGCCCGGCGGCACUCGUUGCCGUCGGACCGCACGGCGGCCGGCCUACUGUCGGACGGUAUAAAGAUUUGAAUCGCGCACGCGCUUCGGCGCGUCCGGCACGACGCAAUAUGUUGCCGUACUACGGUCCUGCCUCGCGGCGGUUCGCGGUACGGUGGCGUAUGUUGUCGCAGCCGUUAGUCUCGGACUGUGCGCGUCUCGGUCUGCGAUGAUUCAGUUUCGGGCACUCGCAGGACCCGUCUUGAAACACGGACCAAGGAGUCUAGCAUGUGUGCGAGUCAUUAAGAUUUGAAAACUGAAAGGCGUAACGAAAGUGAAGGUGUGUGCUCGUCACGCGCUCAGGGAGGAUGGGGUACGAUCUCGGUCGCGCUCUCGCACUCC
This 544-nucleotide ribosomal RNA is filed under the name Phyllonorycter sp. CLV-3. RNAcentral describes it as "eukaryotic LSU rRNA". The record is from RNAcentral. Lineage: Eukaryota; Metazoa; Arthropoda; Insecta; Lepidoptera; Gracillariidae.